GGCCAUCUUGAGAUCCCGGCUUGUGGGCGCGUCCCGCGUGGGCAGCGAGCGGGGAGCCCUGUGGAGGCCGACCCGUCAGCGUUUGGCCGCCCUGCCGGGAGCGCCCCUUCACGAAGAGAAACUCAGCAUCGGGAGCGGCUCUGUGCCGCUCGUGACUCCGGAAGCCCCUGGCUCAGCCGCCACCGUCCCCCGGGGUCUCCACCCGGAGCGCCGGGGCUGGGGGCGCGCGUGAUUUGUGGCCGGCGGGAUGGAGCCCGCGCUGCCGAGGGCCCCCCAGCGCUCGUCUCUGCGCGUGGGGUCCAAGCCCUCCGCUCCACGGCGCGGUCACGUACGCUCACCUGGAUGGCGCAUCGGCUUGUUAGGCGGUAGAAGCGAUAGAACUGCGAAAUACUGAUCUUAGUAUUUUUGGAAAUGUCUCAACUUGCGCCAGUUUGGGGAAUACUGUCAGCUUUCUGUGUAGAAAGUUGAGCUGGCCAAAGGCAGAGCAUUCCAAGCUGGUUGGUUCCUGGGAUGUGCUUCGCAGGCGUCCUGUUACUGGAAGCUGCAACGCCAGAGCCGGGCGUCCUGCCUCGCUGCCAAACUGCUUUCCAGUAACCCAAGUGCCUUUUACUUUAUUUAUUCUUUUUUUUUUUUUUUUUUUUUUUUUUUUUUGUCUUUUUUUUGUCUUUUUGCUAUUUCUUUGGGCCGCUCCCGCGGCAUAUGGAGGUUCCCAGGCUAGGGGUUGAAUUGGAGCUGUAGCCGCCGGCCUAUGCCAGAGCCACAGCAACGCAGGAUCCCAGCCGUGUCUGCAACCUGCACCACAGCUCACGGCAACGCCGGAUCCUUAACCCGCUGAGCGAGGGCAGGGACCGAACUCGCAACCUUAUGGUUCCUAGUCGGAUUCGUUAACCACUGCGCCACGAGGGGAACUCCUAUUUAUUCUUUUUUUUUUUUUUUUUUUCUCGCUUUUUUUAGGGCCGCAGCCGUGGCAUAUGGAGGUUCCCAGGCUGCGGGUCACAUCAGAGCUACAGCUGCUGGCCUACACCACAGCCACAGCAACACGGGAUCCAAGCCUAGUCUGCAACCUACACCACAGGUCAGGGCAACUCCAGAUCCCCCUGAGUGAGACCAGGGAUCGAACCCAAAACCUCAUGGUUCCUAGUCGGAUUUGUUUUCGCUGGGUCCCACACCGGGAACUCCCCCAAGUGCUUUUUAAAAAAAUACCAGGCUCUUACAUACAUCGUCUGUUGCUGUGUAAAAGCAGGCCAUGAAAUUUAGCCACUUGAAACGACCAAUUUUAUUAUUUUGCAUAGUGUCCAAGGAUCAGGGAGCCCCUCUGCAGGGUAGUUGUGGCUUUGGGUUUUGUAUGAGGCUGUGGUCAAGCUGGGAACCAUGGACUUGGUCUUUGGACAUCUGCAGGAAUUCAAGCUCAUGCCUGCGCUGUGGGCAGGAGGCUCGGGUCCUCCCUUUGGGGAGGAGGAUUCAGUUCCCUGCUUCCUUCGGCCUCCCUCCCGAGUGAGGCCUCAGAACAAGAGUAAGCUCAAGACACAGCCUUAGUGUCCCUCACAGCGUCGUGUCAGACGUGCCGCCACUGCUGCCUCUCCUGCUGGCGACACAGACCGUGUCUGGUACAAUGUGAUGGGCGCCCACAGGGGCACCAGAACAAGGGGGCAGCCCCCACGCGAGGUAGUAAGAAUGGGGUUAAGAAGCCCAGUGGACCUGCCACCCACUUCUGCAGGUACCAGCUUGUGGCCCGUCUUGUUUGAUCUGUGCCCUCCUUUCUCCACAUGCAGCAAGUGUGAAGCAAACCCAGAGACUGUCAGCCCGAGGGCCUUCCACACCCUCUCUCGUGGCAUUUUGGCAGCUGCACUCCGCGAGCAAGUGCUCCAAGAGGCCUUCUGAGGCUCCUUGCUCCCAAGCCCAAGUUCAGCCAGGCCAGGUUCAAGGGCAGAGUUUGCCACAGAGCCCAAGCGUGAGAGCGGGUGAGAGUCUCAGGGGUGGAGACAGGUGAAGGUGUAGCCAACACACAAUUCCACAGCAGGGAAGGAGGUUACGAACCGCUCCACUCUGGCCACAGGUCUCCAGACAAGCGUGAGCAGGAAGCUGCCUUCUCUGUGACAGGGACUCACGCCGUCUGGAACAGCGGGAGCAGCUCCCAGCAGCGCAGUCAGGUCCCGUAGCAAAGGCUUUGAGGCGCUCGGCUCAGAGGUCUCUAAGGAGUCACAGUUACUCUCAGGGAGGGCGUCUACCAGUUGUUCCUUCUCUUCCAGUGGCACAUUGUCCAUCAAACUUCUCAUCUAGGAGCUCCCGUUGUGGCUCUGGGUUAAGAACCUGACACAGGCCUGGCCUGGCUCCAGGCUGUGGCCUAGGUCCCAGAUGGAGCUCUGAUACCCUGUGGCUGUGGUGUAAGCUGGCAGCUGCAGCUCCGAUUCGACCCCUAGCCUGGGAACCUCCAUAUGCUGCAGCUGCAGCCCUGGGGAAAAAAAAAAAAAUCACACCAUAACAGAGACUCACCUCUUAAUCAGAAGGGAAGCCAAGGACUGUGGCCUCUCCUCUCCUUUUAAAACACACCCCCUGCCUCCUAGCAACCUCAAGGGCCUCUUCCUGUGCAGGGCCUGGGUGCGGGGAGGCUGAGGGUGUGGCUUCUCUUUGAAAAUUAGGCUAAGGACCCAGAAGACCUGCUCCUGAGCACCAGGCAGACGCCUCACGCUCUGAUGUUGGGAACGUGGGACCAUAAGGCGAGUUUGUUUCACGUCAAGUUUUGGAGUCAUUUACAGACCCGACCAAGGAAAUUAACAAGUUCAGGAGCCAUUAACAAAUGGCUCAGUGGGUUGGGGAUCCAGCAUUCUCACUGCUGUGGUGAGGGUUCAAGCCUUGGCCUAGGCGCUUCCAUGCAGUGGGUGUGGCCAAAAAAAGAAAAUGAGUUUUUAAACAUCAUUCAAGAUCUGACCAAUAUUUUCCUUGACUGUUCUGAGUUUCACACCUGGCGUUAGUUGCAGCAGCAUCUCCGUCGACAGGAUCGGUCUCCCUGCUCUGCACAGCGUCCUGUGGAAGGACCAGGUCACUGGUCCUGAAGAGUCUCCGGGACCAGCUGGCAACACCACACCAGUGCUGACACCUGCCCUUGAUCUUUUCUGCAGGUGCGGGAGGGGCCCGCAGGAGCCGGACUCCAGGAUUGUGACGUGUUUCUGCACCAUCGCAAGGGAGGGUUGAUUCUAUUUUGAAACUUUUAUCAAAUUAGCAAAGAACCCGAGAAAUAUGAUACGGCAUGGCCACACCCCAGCGCCUGUGACUAACAAAUACUACUACGUGUUAAUUAUUUUUUGUCUUUUUAGGGCCACAUCCGUGGCAUAUGGAAGUUCCCAGGCAAGGGGUUGAACAAGAGCUACAGCUACCAGCCUACACCACAGCCACAGCCACACUGGAUCCUUAACCCCCUGAGCAAGGCCAGGGAUCGAACCUGUGUCCUCAUGGAUACUAGUUGGGUUCACUACCAAUGACCCCCAGUGGGAACUCCAAUGCAUAUUAAUAUAAAAAGGCUCUGAUGGGAAGUUCCUGUUGUGGCUCCCGUGAGCUGUGGUGUAGGUCACAGACACAGCUGCUGCUCUGUGGCUGUGGCUGUGGUGUAGGCUGGCAACUGCAGCUCCAAUUCAACCCCUAGCCUGGGAACAUCCAUAUGUUUGCUGUGAGUGCAGCCCUAACCACCCCCCAAAGUAAAAAAACCCUGUGAUGAAUGAAAACUUUUCACAUUAUUCAAGUAAAAGUAUUUAAUGACACAGAAAGGCAACCGGUUCUCUUACAGCGUCACUAAGGGAUCCUUUACACAAUCCACCCACUGAAAGUGUACAAUUCAACGAUUUCCUCGCCAAUCUGUGGACGUGCCUAAUGAUCACUCCAAUAACGUCCCCUUGAGAUGCCUGUGGUCGGUGCCCACUCCAGCCUCCCCGCCGCACCCCAGACCCUGGCAACCCCGUCCCGCUUUCCGCAUCUGUACAUCCUCCUUCCUGGACGUUCGUUUUGCGUCCGUGGACUCACACCACCUAGAGGAUCUUGCAUCUGCGAGCUCACCUGACGGUCUGGGUUCCAUCUAGAGCGUCCUGGUUUUUGUGUAAGUACAGUGGCCCAUUUUGCUGUAUUCACUUGCUGGUUGAUGGACUUUGGGUUCCUUUUUGCUGUCAGAACAUCUGCACUUUGCUGGCCUGAAGGCAUGUUCCUUUGUCCUGGGUUCACUCCCGAGAGGAGUGGAAUUCCCCACUUUGCAGGCGGAUGGACCAUCUUGCAAUCCAGAGAAGGUUCUAACUGGGCACACCCUUGCCAACACUUGGCAUUGUCUUUUUGACCGAAGCUGUCCAAGUGGGUGUGACAUGCUGCCUCAAUGCUGAUUUCAUUUCCCUGAUGAAGAGUCUCUUAUGGUAGAACAUCUAUUCAAGUUUUUUGUCCAUUUUUGUUAUUAUUGUUUGGCUUUUUAGGGCCGCACCCACAGCACAUGAAGGUUCCCAGGCUAGGGGUCAAACAGGAACUACAGCUGCCAGGUUAUGCCACAGCAACGCCUGAUCCGAGCCGCAGCUGUGACCUACACCACAGCUCAUGGCAACGCCGGAUCCUCAACCCACUGAGCCAGGACAGGGAUUGAACCUGCAUCCUCAGGGAUGCUAGUUGGGUUUGCUAAACCGCUGAGCUGCUGAGCUCACAGCUUUUUAAAUGUAUACAGCUAGCUCAUUACAGAAGUGAACACAGGUUUAUGUGCAUGACUUAGUAUAUGUACUUUCCAGCUCUGUCUGGGAAGGGCCCCGAAGCAGUAACAGCCCUGGAGCAAUGAGCACACCCACGGGCGAGAUCUUGGUGGCUACAUACCAGUCUCCGUGAAAGGAGCCUGGAGCCUCUGGCGGUGCCAGAGUCCCGAAAUGCUUAAAAAAGGACACAGCAGGUCAAAAGGGGACAGACAGGAGGAACCUUAACAGUCUGAGCAACAGAGUAACAGUUACCUGGUUAUGACUCAUAGAAUCAAACACCCACAAAUCCACACUGAUAUAAAUAACUGAAUAAAUGGUGGACAAAGAACUGCUCUUUUUUACAAAAGAACUCCAGUUAAUGAAAUGAAAAGACAAUCUACGGAAUAGGAGAAAAUAGUUUCAAAUGAUGCAACCGAGAAGGGCUUGAUCUCCAGAAUAUACAAAUAACUCAUACAACUUGACACCAAAAGAUAAAUGAAUAAAUAACCCAAAUGAAAAAUGGGCAGAAGACCUAAAAAGACAUUUCUCCAAGGAAGACAUAUUAGCUGGCCAACAGGCCCAAGAAAAAAUGCUCAACAUCACUAAUUAUUACAGAAACACAAAUCAAAACUACAAUGAGGUAACACUUUACACUGGUCAGAAUGGCCGUCAUUAGUAAGUCUAUAAAUACCAAAUGCUGGAGGCGGGGUGGAGAAAGGGUGUCCUCCUAUGGUCCAACCACUAUGAAACAGCAUGGAGAUUCCGCAGAAAACUACACAACUACCAUACGAUCCAGCAAUCCCACUCCUGGGCACAUAUGCAGAAGAACCUUUCAUUCAAAAAGAUACAUGGAAAAGAAAAAACAGAAAAGAUACACGUACCCCUGUGCUCACUGCAGCCAAACAUGGAAACAAGCUGAACAUCUACCCAGACCAGUGGGUUAAGAUGUGGUCCAUACACACAAUGGACUGCGACUCAGCCGUUGAAAGGAAAGAAAGAACGGCAUUUGCAGCAACACGGAUGGACCUAGAAAUUAUUGUGCUAAGCGAGGUCAGUCACCAACAUCGAAUGCUUUCACUUCCAUGUGGGAUCUAAAACAGGACACACUGAACUUCUUUGCACAACAGACACUGAUGCAGACUCUGAAAGACUGAUGCUUUCCAAAGGAGACAGGUUGGGGGUGGGGGGCACACUGGGGG
RNAcentral lists this long non-coding RNA (5890 nucleotides) under Sus scrofa (pig). Its description in RNAcentral is "lncRNA (ENSSSCG00045031951.1)". Lineage: Eukaryota; Metazoa; Chordata; Mammalia; Artiodactyla; Suidae. The record is from RNAcentral.